UAGGAAGUGGUGUAGGGAAGCACUAAGAGUUUUGAUCUCUUCUUAAUGGGUUCAUAUCCCUUCUUCCUAA
Molecule: transfer RNA, 70 nt
Filed under: Apocryptodon punctatus
Lineage: Eukaryota; Metazoa; Chordata; Actinopteri; Gobiiformes; Gobiidae
Description: tRNA-Gln
Rfam family: tRNA
About the family: Transfer RNA (tRNA) molecules are approximately 80 nucleotides in length.
Source: RNAcentral